GACGAACGCUGGCGGCAUGCCUAACACAUGCAAGUCGAACGGGAUCCUGGUUUCGGCCAGGUGAGAGUGGCGGACGGGUGAGUAACGCGUGGGAACCUGCCCAGUGGUGGGGGAGUAACUGCGGGAAACGUAGCAGCUAAUACCGCAUGAGCCGCAAGGGAAAGAUUGAUCGCCAUUGGAGGGGCCCGGCGUUCGAUUAGGUAGUUGGUGAGGUAACGGCUCACCAAGCCUACGAUCGAUAGCUGGUCUGAGAGGAUGAUCAGCCACACUGGGACUGAGAUACGGCCCAGACUCCUACGGGAGGC
Molecule: ribosomal RNA, 305 nt
Filed under: uncultured bacterium
Lineage: Bacteria
Description: bacterial SSU rRNA
Rfam family: Bacterial small subunit ribosomal RNA
Source: RNAcentral